UACAGAGGGUGCGAGCGUUAAUCGGAGUUACUGGGCGUAAAGGGCGCGUAGGCGGUUGUGUGAGUGUGAUGUGAAAGCCCUGGGCUUAACCUAGGAAGUGCAUCGCAAACGACAUAACUGGAGUAUAAGAGAGGGUGGCGGAAUUUCUGGUGUAGCGGUGAAAUGCGUAGAGAUCGGAAGGAACGUCAAUGGCGAAGGCAGCCACCUGGCUUAAUACUGACGCUGAGGCGCGAAAGCGUGGGGAGCGAACAGG
RNAcentral lists this ribosomal RNA (253 nucleotides) under uncultured bacterium. RNAcentral's name for it is "partial 16S ribosomal RNA". It matches the Rfam family "Bacterial small subunit ribosomal RNA", at positions 524 to 776 of the family's 1533-position model. The record is from RNAcentral.